CCCUUAAUAGGUGGUAAAUGUGUCACUUGUAUGUAAAUGAAGGGAUUUUCCUGACUGUGAAAUGGUUCAUCUUUUAACACUACAGGGUACUUUAAAAGGGAAACCGUAUGUGUUAAUUACCAAAAUUGAUCAAAUACAAUGUAACGCUAAUUGUGUAUAAUUAAAUCCAGACGUUGUAAACAGAUUAUACCAAUUACGCAAGCCAAGAGUUGCCAGAUAAAGACAUCAUUAAACAUGCAGAUUGUAUUCGUGAAAACGUGUUAAUACUUUGUAAUAAAAUAUUGUAUUAUUGAAAAACGC
Molecule: long non-coding RNA, 300 nt
Filed under: Mytilus galloprovincialis (Mediterranean mussel)
Lineage: Eukaryota; Metazoa; Mollusca; Bivalvia; Mytilida; Mytilidae
Source: RNAcentral